This 254-nucleotide ribosomal RNA is filed under the name uncultured bacterium. RNAcentral's name for it is "partial 16S ribosomal RNA". It matches the Rfam family "Bacterial small subunit ribosomal RNA", at positions 524 to 776 of the family's 1533-position model. The record is from RNAcentral.
GACGAACCGUGCGAACGUUGUUCGGAAUCACUGGGCUUAAAGGGCGCGUAGGCGGCGAUUCAAGUCCGGGGUGAAAGCCCCCAGCUCAACUGGGGAAGUGCCUUGGAUACUGAGUCGCUCGAGGGAGGUAGGGGUCGGAGGGAACUUCUGGUGGAGCGGUGAAAUGCGUUGAUAUCAGAAGGAACGCCGGUGGCGAAAGCGCUCGACUGGACCUUUUCUGACGCUGAGGCGCGAAAGCUAGGGGAGCAAACGGG